AUCGGGUCUGUGGUUGCAAGCCGAUGCCAGUCGCAGGCAAAACGGUCCACGUAAGCCGAAAAAAAUUUCCGGUGAGCAUGGUGCGGUCUAGAGGUAAGUCCGGCCGCGCUUGAGGGCGCGAGAGGACGGCGUGAGGGCGCGAUUGCGCAGAGCAAUGUUCCAGCCGGCGAGUGUGGGGUCAAAAACCAGGUCAGCCGC
RNAcentral lists this non-coding RNA (198 nucleotides) under bovine gut metagenome. RNAcentral's name for it is "raiA RNA". It matches the Rfam family "raiA RNA". The record is from RNAcentral.